This 311-nucleotide long non-coding RNA is filed under the name Selaginella moellendorffii. RNAcentral describes it as "long non-coding RNA (SMOE_LNC001027)". The record is from RNAcentral. Lineage: Eukaryota; Viridiplantae; Streptophyta; Lycopodiopsida; Selaginellales; Selaginellaceae.
GACAUGGCAAGUUUGAGAAAAGAUUUCUAACAUUUUUCUUCUAGUAAUCAGAUGUUAAUCUGGCGAGCACGUUGACUUGGCAAGAGCUGGGUCGAGUGGGGUGCUGAUUACAAGAACCGUAGAAUCCUUGUCUGCAGGAUCUAAUACUGAGAGAGCCUCUGCUGUCUGUACAAUAUCCCCACGAGAAGCUUCCUCGAUGGCGUGAGCGGCUAGUUUCUUCAAGGACAAGGUCGCCACUAUAAACAGGUCUCGUGGUUGUUUUGGUGCCUCCACCACGUUCACUUUGCCAGCAUCUUUUGGGGUGAGCCACU